UUUGUAAAGUCAACAUAUGAAUCAAUAGAGAAUUUACUAAAGUGCGGCUCCGAACGAAGACAUGCGAUUCAACUGCGUAUAAAAUAUGAUAUGACUCAAUUUUAUUUUUGUUGUCUAUUUAUUUACCGUCUUUUAUGCAAAAUUUAAAAUCUAAAAUCCAAACUUUAUUAACUUAAAAACCACUAUAAAUCCCAAAUAUUU
This 201-nucleotide small RNA is filed under the name Arabidopsis thaliana (thale cress). Its description in RNAcentral is "ATSL293110". Lineage: Eukaryota; Viridiplantae; Streptophyta; Magnoliopsida; Brassicales; Brassicaceae. The record is from RNAcentral.